AAUCAACGCUGGCGGCGUGCCUCAGACAUGCAAGUCGAACGCGAAAGUCCCCUUCGGGGGACAAGUAGAGUGGCGCACGGGUGAGUAACACGUAGGUAAUCUACCUUCGGAUGGGGAAUAACAACCGGAAACGGUUGCUAAUACCGCAUAAUGCAGCGGCACCUAAUGGUGACAGUUGUUAAAGCGGGGGAUCGAAAGACCUCGCGUCUGAAGAGGAGCCUGCGGCGGAUUAGCUAGNGGUUAAGGUAAUGGCUUACCAAGGCGACGAUCCGUAGCCGGCCUGAGAGGGGCGGUCGGCCACACUGACACUGACAUACGGGUCAGACUCCUACGGGAGCAGCAGUCGGGAAUUUGGGCAAUGGGCGAAAGCCUGACCCAGCAACGCCGCGUGAAGGAUGAAAUCCCUCGGGA
Molecule: ribosomal RNA, 411 nt
Filed under: uncultured bacterium
Lineage: Bacteria
Description: bacterial SSU rRNA
Rfam family: Bacterial small subunit ribosomal RNA
Source: RNAcentral